Molecule: long non-coding RNA, 527 nt
Filed under: Phoenix dactylifera (date palm)
Lineage: Eukaryota; Viridiplantae; Streptophyta; Magnoliopsida; Arecales; Arecaceae
Description: long non-coding RNA (PDAC_LNC022276)
Source: RNAcentral
UCUGUUCAAUUUUCUCCAUUUGGGUUUGACCCAAUUUCUGAUUUUGGUCUAACAAUUUUUCUGGUUCAGGUCAGACCCAAGUUUGGUUCAGGUCUGGGUCAAUUACAUAUUGGUUCAGAUCUGACUCAAUUAAUUCUGGGUUUAAGAAUAUUGGGCUCAGACAAGGCCCAGUCCAGCCUCGGGCCUUUAAAGCUCGGUUCAUUUGAAGCCCACCGCCGGAGUCAGGCCCAAUUCGACCCACAUCAAUUUUUAUUUUAUUUUCCUUUCUUCUUUUCUUUUCCCUUUUUUUUUCUUUUUUUUUUUCUUUUCUUUUCUUCGUUUUCUUUUCUUUCUUCUCCUCCCUUCUCGAACCUUCUUCUCCUUUCUUCUUCCCUUCCCGAUCCCCUCCUCCUCCUCUUCUCCUCUCCUCCCAUGAGGCAAGGGGGUUGAGCUCGGGAGAAGGUCAACCUGAAGCCGGCGGUGCUGCGGGCAACCAGCGGCGCCUGCGGCGGCCGUGGUCCGACCGGCAGCAGCCGCGGCCCGGCUGG